CCUACGGGAGGCUGCAGUGAGGAAUAUUGGUCAAUGGACGAGAGUCUGAACCAGCCAAGUAGCGUGAAGGAUGACUGCCCUAUGGGUUGUAAACUUCUUUUAUAUGGGAAUAAAACGUUUCACGUGUGGGAUUUUGUAUGUACCAUAUGAAUAAGGAUCGGCUAACUCCGUGCCAGCAGCCGCGGUAAUACGGAGGAUCCGAGCGUUAUCCGGAUUUAUUGGGUUUAAAGGGAGCGUAGGUGGAUUGUUAAGUCAGUUGUGAAAGUUUGCGGCUCAACCGUAAAAUUGCAGUUGAAACUGGCAGUCUUGAGUACAGUAGAGGUGGGCGGAAUUCGUGGUGUAGCGGUGAAAUGCUUAGAUAUCACGAAGUACUCCGAUUGCGAAGGCAGUUCACUGGACUGCAACUGACACUGAGGCUCGAAAGUGUGGGUAUCAAACAGGAUUAGAUACCCCAGUAGUC
This 460-nucleotide ribosomal RNA is filed under the name uncultured bacterium. Its description in RNAcentral is "partial 16S ribosomal RNA". It matches the Rfam family "Bacterial small subunit ribosomal RNA", at positions 338 to 795 of the family's 1533-position model. The record is from RNAcentral.